Molecule: ribosomal RNA, 116 nt
Filed under: Pseudomonadota bacterium
Lineage: Bacteria; Pseudomonadati; Pseudomonadota
Source: RNAcentral
UUCGGUGGCUAUAGCGGAGAGGCUCCACCCGUUCCCAUUUCGAACACGGAAGUUAAGCUCUUCAGCGCCGAUGGUACUGCAUGGGAGACUGUGUGGGAGAGUAGGUGCCGCCGAAA